Molecule: long non-coding RNA, 6499 nt
Filed under: Sus scrofa (pig)
Lineage: Eukaryota; Metazoa; Chordata; Mammalia; Artiodactyla; Suidae
Description: lncRNA (ENSSSCG00055025180.1)
Source: RNAcentral
CAGCUAUUCAGCGGUCAGAGUGGCUUCAGAAUCACGACCUUGAAAUUUCACCCAAGAGACCACAGCCUCUUUGUAUGUGGAGGUUUCAGCUCUGAGAUGAAAGCUUGGGACCUGAGGACCAGCAAGACGCCAGCUGACGCGCUCGGAGAAGGCUGGGGAGAAGCAAUUAGGAGCAGAUGUUGCUGUGACUGGUAUUGGCAUGUUUGCCAGUCUCUCCCAAGCUAAUAAUGUGGGUAAAGGGAUCUGUGCGGUAUUUGUUUUCACUUCCGUUUCACCAAUAAUCCAACUGCCUGUCCUCCCUCGCUGGGUCACAGGACUCGUUCCAUUUGCAUCAGCCAGACGUGGGGGACCCCUCUCUUGCCUGCUGCAAUUAUGUCCGCUCUGACAGGUGUUGCCCAGGAGCCUCAUCUGGACCCAGCAGGAGGACCAGGGAGGAAAAGCACGGGCGCCCACCCGGGGUGGCUCUCUGUGCUCCCGCGGGCUCCGCCAGGCUCCCGCGGGGCUCUGUCCCAGGUGCUNUCCCCCCCCCCCCCCCCCCCCCCCGCCCGCGUGCGGACGUCUAGGGCUGAGCAGCUUGGCUCUUUCUGUCUGCCUUCAGGGCAGCCGUGGAAACCGCAGGUGGAAGCAGGAGGGACAGACUUCAAAUCUUAAAAUCAAGACAAGUUUCCGCUUUCAUGUUUUUAUUUUUAUUUUUUCUUUUUACAGCCGCACACGUGGCAUGUGGAAGUUCCCGGACUAGGGGUCAAAUUGGAGCUGCAGCUGUCGGCUACGCUAUAGCCACAGCAACGCGGGAUCCCAGCCGCAUCUGUGGUCUAUGCUGCAGCUUGUGGCAAUGCUGGAUCUUUAACCCACUGAGUGAGGCCAGGGAUCGAACCCGCAUCCUCAUGGAUUCUGCCCGGGUUCUUAACCCACUGAGCCACAAUGGAAACUCCAGGUUUCUUCUUUUAAAACAAUGGGAAGGACUUAUUAUUAUAAAAGUAAUAUGGGAUUAUAUGAAAAAUUAGAAAAAUGGAGAGAAAUAGAAGGGAUACUCAAGCCAGCUGAAGGUAAAUAAACAUUAGUAACAUUCCAAUAUCUUUAUUUCAUUGUUCUUGUCCCCUGGGCAUUUUUAAACUUUUUUUCCUUUUUCUUUUUUUCCGCCACCCCACCGCAUAUGGAGCUCCUGGGAUCAGAUCCAAGCUGUAGUUGCACUCUAAGCCCCAGUUGCAGCAACACCAGAUCCUUAACCCACUGUGCUGGGCUGGGGAUCAAACCUGCAUCCCAGCGCUCCCAAGACCACACCCAACCCAUUGCUCCCCCCCCUGUGCAUUUUUUAAAACACUGUCUGGUUGUGUUUUCACACAGUUUUGUGAUUUACUUUUCACACAGCACUGUGAGGGUUUUCCUUGUAAUCACAAGUUUUCGUAGAGUUUUCAGCACAUCUCUUUGAUACAGCAGGCUUGGCCGAUUUGCUCCUUGCCCUAUCCUCAGGACUCGAGCCGUGUCUGGCACAGCAGCGCUCGAUAGAUAUGGAUCGAAUGAGUCGAUUUCAAGUGACUUAGCUUAUUAAACCCUUUCCCUAGGUUGGACGUUUAGGACUUUUCCUCGAGCUUUAUUUGCCUUUUAACGUUAAUAGGUGGGAGGGAAGAGGCCAGGAUCGGCACACUGCAGCUCGGGGCUGUUUUUGUAAAUAAAGAUUUGUCGGACGCAGUUCUGCUCAGUCACGUGACGUCGUCUGCAGCCGCUUUCACACUGCAGUGGUCGGCUUGAGGAGUGGCACCAGGGCUCACGACGUGACCAGCAAAGCCAAACAUAUUUAGAGUCUGGGCGGCCCCUGCUAGGAGGGAUCUGGCUGUGACAUCUGUCCCGCUAUGGCUUGUGGGGACCGAGCCUCCAGAUCUGGCUAAGGCGUGUGUGUGGGGGGGGUGUCCCAGGGCCUCACGCUGCCAUGGGUGCCCUGUGGAAACCAUGGGUGCUCAGAGACUGUCUUCUCAGUUGUCUGUGCUUCGGUCAGGGGUCCUUUCUCUCUGUUGGCAUCUCCCGCCGAGCCAGCCAAGUCUGCUUUAGUAUACAUUCCACCUUCAGACACGUUGGUACGGCUGGUGUUUCCCACCUUUGGGGUCCUCUUUCCUGCAGCUUGGCUCCCAGAACUGAAACUGCUGUGUUGAAAUGCGUCGGCAUUCUGAAGGUGAGGGGUGGGUUUCGGCUGCUGAAGCCAAGCCCACCUCUGGAGCGGGACGCCUGGCCGACAGGCUCUCGCAGGGGCUGAGGAGGAGCUGGAGUCGAUAACUUCGAAGCUGCUUUCCGGUCCCACACGUUUGUGGUUCCGCAGGCUUAGCCACAUGAUGAAUGUUGGGAGUCUGGACUCCGCCGGUCCAGCCCAAUUCAUUACAGCAAAUGGGCUGCUUGGCCCAUUCUUCCUUUCUCCGCCAUCUCGCUCUGCUCGGGUUUGAUGAUUGGAGCCCGUUCCUCAUGGCUGCACAGCGUCCGCCUUCGUCUGCAGCGGGUCGGCAGGAUGUGUCCUCGUGCGUGAGCCGGCCGCACCUGCCGACUCCAGGCGGCUCAGUGCUGCUGGAACAGGGUUUCCUGACUCUUCCUCCUCCCGCGUCUGCUCGUACGUGGGUGUAGUCUGGAACCCAGGAUGCCUGUGGGCUGACCUGCGUGUUCCUCUGGGGGUCCAAGCCCCCGCCCCGGCCGCCGGCGCCCAUGGGCCUGAGCCGCAGGAAGCCUGGCCUCACGUCCUCCCUCUCCCACUCGCUCGGCCGGGCGGUUUCCCGCGGCUCUCUAGGCUGAAGCCUCUUUCAGUCCGGGUUUCCCCACUGGUUUAGUGAAGAGGCGGGACGAGGGCACCUCUAAAGCAGGGCCUCUGGACUCACCUGUACGUGGGAGCGCUCCUGGGCGCUUGUUAGGAUGCAGACUGUCUCAGCAGGAUGGUGUCUCAGCCCGGGCUGCUCUGGCACAGUACCGCAGGCCGGGCCUCAACAGCAGGAAUGUAUUUCUCGCGGUUCUGGAGGUGCCAUUGUGGCUGGGUUCUGGUGAAGGCUGGCUUGUAGACAGCUGCCUCCUUGCUGUGUCCUCACAUGAUGGAGAGAGCACCAGCUCUGGUCUCUUCAUCCCUCUCUAAGGCCACCACUCCCUUCGUGGCACCUCCACCCUCAUGACCGAGUCUAAACCUAAUUCCCUCGCAAAGGCCCCUCUCCAGAUGCCAUCACAUUGGGGAUCAGGGCUUCAGUAGAUAGAUUUUGGGGACACAAACAUCCAAUCCAUCGCAGAUGAGGGCGUGCAUUUCAGCAAGUUCCCGGGAGAUGCAGAGGCAGGCGGCCCGUGGACCACACUUUGAGGAGCCAGGGCUCUGAACAUAGAGGGCCGCUGCUCCCUCACCUGGCAUCUUUGGUCCGUGUCUUUGAUGACUUGCACAGCCUGUGACCUAUCUCCGUGACAACCAGGCUUUUAGACUGUGAACCAGAGCUCCUUCGCUGACGGGUGUCAUUUACAGCUGCCCGUGACGGGGGCUGAGACGAGUCAGGUCUGUGCCCCCAGCAGCUUUGGUAGAGCCUGGACCAGAGCUGCUGCUCGGGGCAGGGCGGGGGGUAACCUGCAGUGAACUUCUGGAGUCAGCUGCCUCUCCUGUCAUGGUGGAGCCAUGCAGGAGCGCCCACUGGCCCACAGCUUGGGGCCGUGGCCCCCCUGGGACCUCUGUAGAGGGAGAGGGUGCUCUGGCAAGUGGGAAAUAAAGGCUUGCUGCCAUUCAGCUGUGACCCAUGUCUCAGGAGUGUGGACAGAGGCCGAGGACUUGGGGCACCCUGGAGCGGCGGCCCCAACAUUGUGUUUCUCAGCCAGGUCUGAGCACUCAUGCUCCCCUGUGUCUGUAGGUGGUGGAGUUACCAGCCUUACCCGUUUCCAGCCUCACAGGGCCGUGGCUCUGUGCCCAGUGGGGAAUGGAGCGGUGGAGUGCCAGGCCUGCAGGGCCCACCAGCCCUGUGGGAAAUGCGCUAAGGUAGUUAUUUUCAAGUUUGCUCUAAGAUGACUGGGUGGUUUGAGCCAAAGUUAGGGUAGGUAAUACAUUUUCUCCUUUAUAUCAUGAACCAAAGCCUCCUCUGGAGGCUUAAAAAUCCUAGCACAGACUUAAUGAAUCACUCUUUUUCAAAGACUAAAGCCUGGGACCCCAGCCUCGGCAAAUGACCUCUCAGCUGAGCAGGACGGAGCGCUGGACAUCAGAGCCGAACCCUCUAGGACAUGUGGCUCCUGCCACUGGGAGCCUCUCCGCCAGGGAGCAGGCUGGGCCCGAGCCCGUGUGCUCAGGCCCCCACUGGUCCUUGGAAACAACCCCCACACACACCUGGGGUAGGCUCAGGAUGAGAUGUGCCCUGCCGGGCCAGCUCACUUGUGCCCAGUGGGGGUUUGACGCGAGGCAUCAGCGUCCGGGCUCGUUCCAUAUCUUCUCUUCCUUUCAGGUUGCGAAGGGCCUUGGGGACCUUCCAGAUCUUGCCUUGGUUUCUUGACUCCUUUUGGAACUUUGGCCCAGACCCUCUGCGGGUGCGGGUCCUAAGGUGCAGGUGACAGUGGGGGCGGCCUCUGGCUUGUCCUUCCCACCCGCUGGGUUUCUCCUCUCCGCCUCUGUCACAGCCCCCACUCCGCUGCAGUUUCCCUGCAGGGUAGAAACUCCCCGAGGGCAGAAAUUUGCUCCUUUCCUGCUGUGUUCCCAGCACCUAGCAAUGGGAUGGACCGUGGCAGGAAUGCCUGACAACCUUCAUCCAGACCAACCAGAAGAAUCCAAGCGGUGAGCCCACCCAGCUGGAGCAUCCGCCCAGCCUCCAGGCCUUGACCUGCUCUUCUCGCGCCCCUGCCGUGGGUGCUCUGCCCCGAGUGGGGUGAGACGAGCUGGUAACGCAGCCAGUGAAAGCUGACCUGCUUGCAGGUCAGGGCACCCAGAGCCUUAGAGUACCCUGCCCAUUCCGGACCCCGCCUGCAGGUGGUCUAGGCCACGCGAGGUUUGAAAGCUCUUCAGGUGACUUCAUGACCAGUCCAGUUAUGCAGCACAGCCCUGGGCCAGUUUGGGUGCCUGGGUGAGACUCCUGAGUGCUGGCGCUGUGCCGGCUCCUGCCGGUGUGGGUGAGGGCGCCCCUGCUAUUUUCAUUCCUGAGGCGGCGGUGGCGGUGGCGGCGGCUGUCUGGAAGACUUGGCGCCUGCGUCUCUUGGUUCGGGGGCCAUCCGUUUUGGUGGCGUUGUAGGCAGGUUGCUUAUUUGCCCUAAUGAGGUUUUGAUUACUCUCCAUUUGUCUCUUUCAUCGGCUUUCUAUUGCAAAGCCUUUUUAUUUGGACUUUGUACUUCUGCAGUUCUAAGUUUUGCCUCAAACCAAACUUUUCAUGCAGAUGGAGCAUAGGAGACCCGUGGAAGCGGGGACAGGGAAAGGGUGCCGGCGGUCCCCGCCCCGUAGGACUGAGGGCGGGGGCUGGUCUUCUCUGGGCUCCCCAUCUGACAAGUGGGGGCGGGGCUGGGGUGCUCUAGUCCCCUGCAGACCGUUGGCACUGACACCGGGUGGUGGGUGCAGGAUGCUCCUUGUUAGCACAGCUCACCUGCGGCAGCCCAGCCAUCCUGGGAGGUGGACCCGGCACUGCUGUCACCCACUGCCUGGCAGGGUGUCUGGGGUUCGGACAGGUACUAGCCGCUGGCGCAGGGCCGGUUGGUAGGGGGCUAAGACCGCUAGCCAGACACCUGCAGGUCCUCCUGUUUGCAGUGUGAAUGAAGCUGCGUUUGGGGUGCGAGUAAAGCUUUGGCUGUGAGAGUCGUGUGCUUUGUUCUUGGGGGCAGCCUGCCCGGGGUGGCCUUUGAGUUCAGAUGCCCUCUCAGCCCUGCUGCUUGCAGCUCGGUGCCCAGUGUCAGGACCUGGCGGUGAACAGGACCGUGGUGGGCCCUGCAGCCUCAGGCCUGACGUCAUAACCCCAGGUCCUCGGUGAGGGCGGCCCUAUUCCCUGCACAGUGUAGACGAGACCAAUCCAGCUUUCAGUGCAGGAGUGGCCAGCCACUGUUGGGCUUGGAUCUGAACCUGGGUCUUAUUCUAAACUCUGCCUCUGCCUUUGGCAGGAAGAGGACACAUUUCAUUUAUCCAGCCCCCACCGGACACCAGGCACUGUCCCAGGGCCCCGGGUGACAGAGCUCACGGUCUGUAAGAAGGGACGGGGGCAUACACUUCUGUGACAUUUGGUGGAUCUGCUGGCCUCACCGGCUGCCUUCCCAAGUGGCCGAGGCAUCCCUGUGUCUCCUGGGUUGUCCAAAAUCUUGGGCAGAGCUGGGGAAGGGGUUCCUGAAAUCCUCACCCUCGGAGAGUUGCCACCCAGCCCGCCCCUUCUCUUCCCCUUCACUUGGCAGCACUUGUCAUGGGAUGGUCAGCAGGCUUCUAUUAAAAACCUGGAAUAUGGGGUUCCUGCUACAGCACUGCAGGUUAAGGAUCCGGUGCUGUCUCUGCAGCAGCGCACUUUCGAUCUCUGGCCUAGGAACUUCCAUAUGCUGUGAGUGUGGC